This 308-nucleotide ribosomal RNA is filed under the name Partula cf. suturalis. Its description in RNAcentral is "partial 16S ribosomal RNA". The record is from RNAcentral. Lineage: Eukaryota; Metazoa; Mollusca; Gastropoda; Stylommatophora; Partulidae.
GGAAUAACUGUUUCAAUGAAACUAAAAAGAAAUUUCUUAAUAGGUGAAAAUUCCUUUAAUUAAUACAAUAGACGAGAAGACCCUAAGAAUUAUAUAUUAAAAUUAGUAGUUUAUAACAAAAUUUUUGUUGGGGCAACAGAUUUGGUAAAAUCAAUAACUUUUAGAUUUGCAUAUUAAGUAUAUGUAAUAAGAAUUUAAUUACCUUAGGGAUAACAGCAUUAUUAAUAUAUUAUGUUGUGACCUCGAUGUUGGACUAGGGACUUUUAAAGUAAGCCAUUUUAAAAGAUUGUUCUGUUCGAACAUAAAAC